This is a long non-coding RNA of Camelus dromedarius (Arabian camel), 2366 nucleotides long. RefSeq lists it as uncharacterized. NCBI's taxonomy places the organism in Eukaryota, Metazoa, Chordata, Mammalia, Artiodactyla, Camelidae. The transcript has 3 exons. The record is from RefSeq and is a predicted model, not a curated record.
GGAGGGCCCAGGGGCUGAAAGCUCCUGUCCAGACCCUUCGGCUGAGCAUCCCUGAGACCGGAGACCCGCCUCGCAGGCGAGGGAUGCCGUGGCCGCCAGGAAAGCGGGGCUCCGCCCGCACCCUCACUCCCGUCACCCUGAAGUCCAGCGCCUUCUCCACCAGGGGUGUGACUCAGACUGCGAGCAUGUGAGGACAUCCCCCUGCAUCUGCGGCCACAGGCCCACACGCUGGGCUGGGGGUGGGGGGAGUCCAGACCCCACUGGCCUCCUGGGGGCGGGAAGGUGCAAAAGGAGGCCAUUGCCCUCACCUCCCAGGCUGGGCAUCCUGAAAACGGGUGCCAGGACCGGCCCGGGUUCUGGGGCCUGAGCUGCUGUGGUCACUCUCGUCAGCUCUCUGCCCCGGAUCCCCUCAUGGUCACCUGUCCCCUCGGAGCAAGGGCCGGCUGUGUGGGGAUGUCAGUGCCCCAGCGGGGCCCCCUCUGGGCCAGGCCAGGCAGCACUCUGCAGGGGGAUUUCGCCGGCGAGGUGGCUGGGCCGCCUGUGCUCCUGUGCCCUCCAGGACGAGGCUGGCCUUGCUUUAUUCAGAUACUUUACGUUCUGCCCUGCUGAGGAAUCCACGUUCUCAGGGGACAGAUUCUCAGGGACACACCUGAGUCUCGGCGAAGCCCUGGGUGCCAGCGGCCCAGUUCUGCAGGUGGUGGGGCUCCCCGAUGGGAUUAGCCGCGGUGCUGGCGGGACUCUAAGGAGCCGGUACACUGGGCACCUUCGAGGUUCUUCCUCCGGCUCCAAGAUCCUGGCAGGGCCCAGUGAGGAGACACUCUGAGCUCCGUGGGACCCAAGACUCUGACUGAGGACAAAGGAAGCCCUUGGAUCAGCCUUCGUUGGAGAGCAAGGACCACAGUCUCCUCUGGGCGCUUCUACCUCGUCAAGAUCUCAGCCUUCGUCCUGCAAGCGGAGGCCAGGAUGCUGGCCUGAGGCCCCCGACUUCUGGCACCGGCCCGAGCACAAGGCCUCGGGAACUGGGACUGGCUGGCGCCUGAAGCCCGCGGUGGCCGAGUGCCCCUGGCUGCCCCUCCUGCUGCUGGUGGACAUCCGGCCAACUCGGGCCGCCUGCAGCGGUCUCUAGGUCACUCGGGGCAGUGCAAGCUACUUGACCGGGUGGCCUUAAGGUUAUAAGAAAAGUCAUGAAGAUGAGAAAACCCGCAGUCAGGAGGGACCGCAAGCCACAUGUCCACCCACCCGGCAAUUAUCAGGUGGGCUGACGCCCCCCGUGCGCCCAGAAGACCCACGUGAUCUUCCGCAGCAGGGAAGGUCCUGGUGGUGUCCUCCGCAGGCUGGCUCCAGCGGCCACGGCCCGCCCGUUCCUGGGCUUUCUGAAGAUCCUUCGUGGGUGCUGGCUCUGACGGAGACAAGGCUGUGCUCACCCAGCCUCUUAUGUCCCCGUUAGUUGCCCUGGAGUUGGGGACUCACCCAGCUGGCUCCAGUUCUGUGCCCAGGGAUGAUGGGGACACAGAGGCAGCCCCCAGCCUGGGAAACCAGUGCUUGUCAGGAAGGACAAUCUCAGGACCUGGGGGGGUGGAGGGAAGGGCGGGGAGGGGCCCUGCACACACAGACCUGGGUGGGUGGAGGGAAGGGGAGGGAAGGGAAGGGAAGGGAGGGGCUCUGCACACAGGUGACCUGAGGCAGGCGGCCCUGGGCUCAGUGGCCUCCCUGCAGGGUCCCACCCCGGACCCUGUUCUCUAAACCAAACCCCCAGGGACGCACCGACUGACCAGCAGCUGGUGGGCAGGCAGAGGGUCCUGCUGAGACGUGGGCACCCCUCACCCCAGGCCCCGCCUUCUCGUCUCCUGCUGGUGGUCCUGACUGAAGGCGGGAGACUGGGAGGAGGCAGCAGCCUGGGCCUGGAGCUUGGCGUGAUGGGGGCCGGGAGGGCCCUCGGUGGGGAAGGACAGUGGGAGGGGCGUUGAGAUGUUGACUGUGCCGCCCCUGCACAGACCCCGGAUCAGUGUUCCGCACCAUCCGAGUGAUGGUGCCUGGACACAGGCGAGCUUGGGAACCUCAGAGGGAAAAGCCGAGGCAGCUGCCGGGCUGGAAAGUGGAAGAGAGUCGAGUAAACAGCUGGAGCCUCAGCCCUUAGUGCCACUGGGCCUGGUCUGGCGGAUCGACAGGAGAGUCAAAUUUUACUUCGAACACCAGAGAUUCGGGCCACAUGGAUGGACCUGGAGAUCAUCAUUCUAAGGGAAGAAAGUCGGACAGAGAAAGACAAAUAUCAUAUGAUAUUAUUUUUAUGUGUAAUCUAAAAUAUGAUGCAAAUAAACUUAUUUCCAAAACAGAAACUGAAUCAGAGACAUAGAAAACAAACUUAA